This 254-nucleotide ribosomal RNA is filed under the name uncultured bacterium. RNAcentral's name for it is "partial 16S ribosomal RNA". It matches the Rfam family "Bacterial small subunit ribosomal RNA", at positions 524 to 776 of the family's 1533-position model. The record is from RNAcentral.
UACGAGUGCCCCAAGCGUUAUCCGGAAUCAUUGGGCGUAAAGGGUGUGUAGGUGGUCUAGUUAGUCUUCUGUUAAAUUCUUCGGCUUAACCGGGGUCCUGCAGGGGGAAACGGCUAGACUAGAGUGUGCAAGGGGUGAAUGGAACUCAUGGAGUAGGGGUGAAAUCCGUUGAUAUCAUGGGGAACACCAAAAGCGAAGGCAAUUCACUGGUGCAUUACUGACACUGAAACACGAAAGCGUGGGUAGCGAACUGG